GCGAGCGGGGGGUGUUGAGGAGGCUGGCGAAGGCGGUAAUGCAACCCUAAUGCACAGAUAGCUGACAUCAACUUCCGUCAGGCAGCUCCUGGAGAUCGAACCUUUCGAUUGUAACUGGGACAAUUUGCAUAGUGAUUCCCUUUCAGAGCUUUCCCAGGUCCAUAACAAGCCCAGGCAGCUAUUCAAAUGCAAGUUGCAACCCCAAAUGCAAUGCAAGGCUAGCCUGAUCAAAAAGCCAUUCCGGAGCCCAGGAGAAGAGAGACCCGGGCUCUGGAUUUCAUCCUUCUCUCUUCUUCUUUCUCUUCGGUUCCUGAUUUAGCUGGGAGCUGUUUAUUUAUGGCUGCAAAUGUGUGCGUGCGAGAGAGAGGGAGAAUUGAUCUUUGCCUGGACUUAAAGAUGGAGACGAAGGCGCUGGAGGGAAUUUGGGUUUGUGCAUCUAGCUCAGACCCCAGGCGCCGAAGGGGGCCUUUUGGCACGAAACCCGAGGUUUCUCUUUUUCGCACCCCUCACCUCGCGACCUUGCAGGAAUACACGGGCCCCGAAGCGGCCUGGCUGACCCGCCUGCCCGGGGACGGGUUGCUGAGAAAGGCUUCAUGGAGGGAGCCAUCCCCGUCCCUUUCUUUAAAAUGAGCGCAAUAAAAGGGGGCAAAUCCUCAAGCGCGAACCUGAUCGCUUGUCACAGAAGCAACUUGCCAUGAAAUCCGCUAAUGCGCCGCGACUCGCCCACCAGGGUUGCUUGGCUGUCUCUCCAAAUCAAACCCAAACCUGCUAAAGAUGAUCACAGGCCACUGUCCUUGCAACACUGACCGUUAUCUCAGUGGCAGAACCAGCUCCUCUGAUCAGAGAAUACAAAGCGGCGGCUAAAUUCGUGUCCUUUCUUUUUCUUUCUUUUUUUUUUUUUAUUGUAAGAAAAUGUAGGCUUCUCAAAUCCACAGAAGCAGCAAAACACAAAUUUCCCAGUGUUCUUUGUUUAUAUUUGUUGGUCUGCUGGAAGAUGUCUGACCACGAGCUUUUUCGUUGGGCUCACUUCAUGCAGAGCACUCCGGAUUUUUUUUUUUUUUCGUUUUUUCAUCAUGUAUCUUAAAAAAUACAUAGAAUGCUUUCCGGACCGUUUCGCAAUAGAUUUCUUAAGGAUCAGAUAUGUAGAGAAGCGUUGGGAUUGAAGGGUGAGAAAAGCAGACUGGAAGGUACAAAUAAACCCACUGCAAAUUGAAAACACACUGAACAGAAGAAAUGAUUAUGAAAGAAGAUGAGGGAAUUAACUAGUCUAGAAAGACUGGUUUUAAGAUCUGAAUUUUCCAGAUUUAAUGACUACACAUAACAAAUCAAAAGGAAUUAAAUCUAUUCUUUUACUUGUGUUUUCUUGAUGCACAACCAGAGAACACAGGCCCACUUGGGUAUGUUGGUCAAGUGCACAUUUCCAGGCUUUUCAAAGGACAAAUCAGCUUUGGGAUGCUUUCCUAUUUUUUCCAUAAACUACAACCAUUUUAGUUCUGAUGAAAAACAAUUUAAAAUUUAUUUCUGGCUGUAGAAAAAAAAAAGAAAAAUUUAAAACUCUGGCAGUAAAAUGAUUACCGUUUUCUAAGGGGUUAAUUUGAUGUAAAUAACCUACUUGCCUAGGAGCACAGAAGGGAGAACUUAGAGGUCCUGGCAGCAAAAAAAGACUGAUGGUGAGUUUUUAGAGUCUGAGAGCCUGGAGAGGCUCUGAAUCUAGCUUUGGGUUUGUUGCAUCCCUCUUGCUCUCUUAAAACAGUAACUCAAGAUGUAAGUAAAAGUGUUUUCAUUUUUUAUUGAUCCCACUAACAUCUUUCAUUAUCCAGCAUGUAGCCACAGCAAAUUAUUGCUCAUUUGAUACUGAGAAUUCUAUUGACUAUCACUUUCGUUGGAGAGAGAAUUCUAACUACUGGGCUGCUCUGUAGUCAGAGCUAAGGCUGAGGACAUUCCUCAGCUAAAACCCAAGUAAAUUGAGCCCUCUGCCUCCAGGAAUUGAUGGAGAUGUGUUCAUUACACUGGGCCACGUGAACAUGCAUAGAGAUCUGCUUUUUAUUCUGCCUACCUUGCCCCACUCAUGAGAAAGGUCGGCCCCUUUGGAACAGAUCUGCCUAUUUGGAGGGCUGAGCAUUCGUUUGCCUCUCCUGGAUCCCUUCUGGAGACCUCCUUCCAGCUCUGGCCAGUGUUAGGACAAGGGAAAUGAUGCAAUGGAAGCCUGCUCUUGUGGUCAAUCCUCUGCUCAAAACCACCCCAAUUUGGACACCUACAGAAAUCAUUAACACUCUCCCUAAAACAAACAAAAACCUCCUAAAAUAUCCAGAUAUGUGACUUAACUGUCAAGAUGUAAUUUCCUAAAUUAAACUGCCCUCCCGUUCAAGACCCUAUGUCAUCAGAGAGGGCUAAGUACAGGUAGAGGGAGCUCUGAGUUCCUCAUGUGUUCUCUCUUUGGUUGGCAAUGGGCGUCCAACUCCGAAUGACAGGUGGGGCGACUCCCUUGCUUGAGCCAGUGAAUGAGUGAGGAAGAACCCCGAGCCUAGUGAAGGUCUGACCUUUGACCCUACCUAGCAGCUCUGGCACUCAAGAAGAGGCCAGGUUUAUUUCCCGUGAAGCUAGAGGCUGAAUUUGCCUUCACGCCAAAAGGAGAGAAAGGAGCCCCGGAGCAGCUCUGUACCAGGAGCUACCCAACGCCUCAACCCUGGGGCCGCUUUCUCCCUCCCCAAGGUGGCAUUCUCAGCUGCCUGUCGGGACCCACGCGCCCUUGCUGCCUCCCUUCGGGCGUGUCCGUGAAAAGUUCCCGGGUUCGAGGAUGCGUCGGCCUGGCACUCCCGGGGCGAAGGAAGACGUCGAGCAUGACAGCUUUCCCCAUAAUAAGUAAUUCACCGCAGCUAAACCAUAAACCCCCAACCCCAAGACCUUGGAAAAUUGGGCAUUCUGUGGAGGAGAUGCUUUAGUUAGGUUUCAUUUCCGCAACCACCAGGAGAUAAGCCCUCUGGUUUCCAGAACAAAAGGAGAACCAGCUAACGACUUAAAACAAAUGAGUCGGCGCGUGCAGCCGGAGGACAGCUCCAACUCCAAAUCGGAAGGCGCCCUUAGGACUCUAAGAGAUCUGGCUUGGCCGUUAUUUUCCUAAGAGUGCUGAGACCGCGUGAAGCUGCUCGCACUCUCUCGAGGAUCGCACUCCACCCUCUCACGCGUUUGGGAGCCACUUUAUUCUAGAACAAGGCAGUAAUGCUGGGAGAGUGUUCUGCGCACGCUGGGACUCUCACCCAAGAGCGGCAACCUAGAGAUGGGAGUAGAUUGUAAAUCGGCUUUUGAGGGUAGAGGAAUUUGGGAGGAGAGUUUAAGCUGAGAUUCACAUGGUGGACUCUUUCGGUUUUCCUUUUUGUUUUUAAUGUAGAUAGGCAAACCCCAGCGUUGGUGUAACCAGCGCAAGCGCGCGUCCUAUUCCUCAAAUGCUCGAUCUACCGGCCACACUACAGCCCACAGUGCUUUCUGGAAACCCCAUUUUCCUGAUUGCAGCCCACACUCUGGAACCUCGCAACCCAUCCGGGGUAAGGAGUCAGAUCUGGGCCAAGUAGUGGGUCGGACACAGACACAGAUACACACACACACACACACACACACACACACACACACACACACACACGGAGGUGGGGGUGGGGGGAGAAAGAGAGAGAGAGAGAAAGGCAGUGCUUCGUUGGAUGAGGAUCCAGGGUGGCUGGAUAGAGAUCUGAAAGGCCCUAGCUGGCAGGAGUCUUGCAGCCCUUAAAGCAGCUUAAUCCUGAUAGUUAUUUUGAGAAACAAGACCUGGAACCUAGGUUUGAGCUUAACAGGGCAGUGGCAAGGAAUAAAUGUCCCAGCAUUUAUUUGGAAUGAGGGACAACUGCCCAGCUGACCUGGUGUUGUGGCAAACUGGACAUUAGGAAAUGUUUUCUCUUCGCGCACACAGUAGCACACAUUUCCUUGGAUGGAGAGCUCACCCAUGUGCAGGGAGCCUCUGGCUGGGCCAGUGCACCUCCCAACCACUCUUGCCGACUUCUUCAGGUUUUGCCAGGCAAAUGAAACAAGAAGAACUGGAUCAUAAAUUAUUUUGUUCAGACCUCUGUCUUUUCAUGAAAAUAAAAGACAAUACUUUGUCAUUUUUAAUCAUAUAAGCAGACAAUAAACCUAAUUUUGAUAUUGAUUUUUUC
Long non-coding RNA from Sus scrofa (pig), 4181 nucleotides. RefSeq lists it as uncharacterized. The record is from RefSeq and is a predicted model, not a curated record. NCBI's taxonomy places the organism in Eukaryota, Metazoa, Chordata, Mammalia, Artiodactyla, Suidae.